This 213-nucleotide long non-coding RNA is filed under the name Mytilus galloprovincialis (Mediterranean mussel). Lineage: Eukaryota; Metazoa; Mollusca; Bivalvia; Mytilida; Mytilidae. The record is from RNAcentral.
GUUUACUACUUGCCACUUGACGUUAAAUAUAAACAUGUCACAUCUUCAGGUUGCAGUCUUGUAAUUGACUGCUCUAUAGGCUUACAUGCAAAACAUGCAGCUGAUCUUUGAAAAUAAAAAAAUAAAAAAUACUUUCUGUUUGCUGUUUUUACUAGGUCGCACCACUUCCAGUAAACAUGAUAUCCUUCAACUUUCCAGGAUUGAUAUCCCCCA